Molecule: long non-coding RNA, 5645 nt
Organism: Camelus dromedarius (Arabian camel)
Lineage: Eukaryota; Metazoa; Chordata; Mammalia; Artiodactyla; Camelidae
Exons: 3
Source: RefSeq, a predicted model, not a curated record
GCCUGGGCAUCCCUUAGAUGUUCAUUGGACGGAUGUGCUGCUGCUUCUGUGAAAAGGCCUGUUCACGUCUUUUAUUUUUCUGUUGGAUUACUUGUUUUUUUCCGCCAUGGAUUUACAAGUCCUUUCCAUAUUUUUGAUGCUUUAUCCUUUGUCAGUUGCAUGUGGCAGACGUCACAAGUCUGCUCCAGUUUGUGGCUCGCAUUUCACUUUCUCUAAGGUGUCUCCACUUCUCUCUUCCCUCCCACACCUGUGCCAGGGACGCUGGUGUGCGUGCGUGUGCAUGUGUGCGUGUGUGUGGAGGAGGGGUUCCUGUGUUCCUCAGAACCCCGUGCAGACCGACCCCACUGCUCCACCUGCUCCCUGGGGCCUUAAGAGACCUGCCUCCCAGAUCUGCCAUGAAAUGCUCUGCUCUCUUCUCUUUUCCUUGCUGUCCCCGGGGCUGGAGGAGCACAGGCCUCCCAGGCACAGGACCUUGGCCUUGCUGGACUCCCAUCUUCUUCCAAAGGUUGAGCCUGGGGUAGCCAGAAAUAAGAGGCGCCGGACUUGCUACUGCCGAUGUGGAAACCGGGGCAGCUGCAGCCUGGGUGGCUCUGGGCUGGGUGCCUUGACCCUGCCCAGAGGGGCCUAAGCAGGCCCACCACCCCAGGCCCCAACCCGGGCAAUGGACGGCCUGAGUUAACCCCCAUACCAGGCCUCCAUCACUCCUAUCCCCAGCAGCUCCUGCCAAGAGGAAAGGGCCAGGCAGGGCUGUCACUCAAGACUGAGCAGGUGGUCCAGGUGGGAGGUGCAGGGGUGAGAGCUCUGGUCUCGGCUCUGUCCUUUGUUCACUGAGGCCCUUUGGCCAUCCCUGACCCACUCCAGGCCUUGGCUUCCUCUUUUGUAUGGUGAUCGAGGCACCCAUGAUCUAAAAUCCCUCACCCAUUUCUGCCCCAAUUCUGACAUCCCUUAAUUUUCCAUCCCUUAGUUUUGGGAACAGUGUCAGCGCUGAGGCUGGGACCCUCAGAGAGUGGCUUGGCAUAGGCCUUGACAGAGAGGGGACCUGGAGAGACUGAGGGGAAGGAAGAGGCGUGCCAGGUGGGAGGACUAGACUAGGGCCAGGUAUGGAGGUGGGAAGGCCAGGACCAAGUUUGGAACUUAAGGUGUUGAUGGGACAGACUCGAGAGUGGUAGGUGACAAGGCUGAUCUGGAUCCAAAGCGGGAGGAAGAUUUGAGGGUCCUCUUUAUUCAUGCAAACUUUAGGAAAGUGUCUGAGACCCCCUUCACAUUCUUCCUCAGAAGAAAGACAAAUGGGUAUUUGGGGGGUGGGGGCAGGGCCAGCCCUUCCCUUCCGUCCACCAAAGAGAUGGCUGCCCAUGUGGUGUGAUGGGGGUGCCUCAUGAGGGACCCGAACCUUUCUCCGUGUGUCGGGUGCCUGGAGAUCCAGCAUCUGGGCCAGGCUCAGGAUUCUGCAUUGCCGUCUUCCCGAACCUGUUUUGUUUUUAAGCUGCUAUUGCAAGAAGGGGUGGGAGAUGACUUUGCUUCUCGUUGAGUUUGCUGACGGCGUCUGACCUCUGGGGGAAGAGUUUCUUUGCAGGAAGGCCCAGGCCUGAGCCCCCGGGAGCUGACCAGUCCACUGACUGGGUUCAGCCAUCCCUUCGGCUCAGGAGGUCCUGAGAUGCCUGCCUCACAAGUAGCUCCGCCUAGUUCUCAAGGCCUGCCCGUCACAGCACAAGGAGUGGUUCCGGUCAGAGAGGCUUCGGGGACCCCAAGACCCUGAGGCCCAGCCCGGCCCCCGCCAUCCUGCCCCUGCCUUGGUGCCUCGGGUUGGCCCAAGUGCUGAGUUGGCAGCUCAGCAGCUGCUCCUGCCCACGGAGGCCCAGUUAUAAAUAAGCCCGAUGUGGCCAAGUCAUCAAGUUCUGCCCCAGCUGCACUACCUCAGUGACCACAGGUUGGGGCUGCCCAGAACCAAGCCCACCAGAACCUGCCCACCCAGGCCAGAGCCGGGCCAGCCCAGACGCCUGUCGGGGUCCUCAGAUCCAGGGUCCAAGCGUCACAGCUGCCUAGGCCUGGGCCUGCCAGGACUCAGGCCGCAGAAGGGGCAGGGCCCAUCCCGCCUGCACGGAGCCAGCAGCUAUUUACAAACCGAAACCGGGAGAAGUGAAGUGGCUGCGGCCAAAGUGGCUCCAGGCCCCCAGCCCCCACUCCCACCCCAUCCCCGGCCGCCCCAUCCCCCCUCUCCUCAUGGCUUCCUCUUUCCUUCCCCACACAGCUCCCCAACCUCCCACUGCUCAGCCAGCUCUCUCUGGACAGCCUGCCAGCGCUUCACAGUGACCCCUGCCCCACAGCUGCUUGCCUGGGGGGGUCUCCCUCUAUUCCUCACCCCCAGAGCCCCAUCAGUCUGGGCUCCGUGGAGCAGCCCCCUCCCACCUGGGCCUAGCCCGCUCUGGCCUGCUCAAGGCAUAUUCCCACAGUUCUCAGUUCCCCUUCGUGCUUGGAAAAGCUCCAACACCAAUGGCCACCAUGACGCUGCCCGUCUCCUUGCCUGAGGAGGGAGCCUUGACCUUCUCGGUGGGGCAAGGAAUCUGGGGUGCUGUGGUGGAACUCAGGGCACCUGGGGGCUUCAGGGGUCCUGUCUCUGGGCAGGAGGCCCCGGCCAUCAAUCUCCUCCAGUUGGGUUUUGGCCUGCUCAUCAGGCUGGUGUGGGUCACAGGCCCUCGUGCAGUACAGAAUUCAGCUGGGACAGGUGGACACUGGGCUCGAGACCAUGUCACAGGCUGCUUUAGAACUGGCAGGCAGGAUGGUGCUGUAGCAGGGGACUGUUCCACGGAGAGACGACAGACAGCAUAAUUAAUACUCAUUUCUAAUAAUAGACGAAGUCUCUCACGUUGGCGCAGAGGGAUAUGGUUCACAUCAGCCUGUUCGUUCUGUCCCCAGAACAAGCCUAUCCCGUUACAUCCAUCACAGAGUGGACACUGGGGCUCAGAGGCGAACUCACAUGGCCAAGGUGGCACAGCUAGUAAGUGUCUGGACUGAAGAGUCAGGAUUUCCUGUACCCAGUCCCCUUCUCCCUCCAUCUGCCUGCCCCUUGCUCCAGCUUGUUGUACCUCAGUCUCCCUCCCCAGGAGGACAGAAGUUUCCCAGCACUGUGACAAGGCAGGAGCUGGGCUGGCCUGAAGCUCGAGGGGGCCUUGGACAGCAGAAUUGCCAGGUGGGGUUGUCAGUGCCUAGAGUCCCCUUCCCUGCCCCAAGGGAAGUCUCUGCCUGCCCCAUUCCUUGCCCCUUACCAAGUCCAGCUGAGGCACAGCUACAGCCAGAGCCCACUCACCCACAGCCAGCUGGCUGACUGUGUUUCACCUGACUUCUCUGAGCCUCAGAAUCCUCUUCUAUGAAUUGUCAUUCCACAAACACAGAGUGCCUACUCCAUGCCAGGGCAGGGUGUAAGCCGUCUCUAGAACUAGGACAGACCUGUGGAGAAGGCAGGUGAGUUACAAAACCCUGAGCGCUCUGAGAGGAAAACUGAGGCUGUGGGACACCAGGAAAAUGUGAUGAGUGCUUCCUGGUGUGAGGAGCCGUGCCACUUGGGUUGGGGCAGGAAAGAGCUCCCUGACAAAAGCAGGGGGGACAAGUGAGUGCUCCAUGCUGAGUCACACCCCUGUGCCUUGGCUCCAGCAGUUCCCACGGUCUGAAUGCCCUUCCUUCCUCUGGUCCCGGUGAACUCCUACACAUCUGUCAGGGCCCAUGGACACAUCAUAGCAUGACCAGGCCUGGCCUGGCCUGAUGGCUCAUCACCUCCCUCCUCCCACCCAGGGCCUGAGCAUACCCGGAGGCCAGGCCUUCUCAGCGUCCUUGUCAGCCCCACCCAGGCAGGCAUCUGCUCUGGGGCUCGAGCCCCCGCCGUCCUCUGCUCCAAAAAGCACCGUUUCCCUUUUCUGGGUGACCACACGCCAUGCACAGGGAAUUUCCAUCUCGGCCUGUGGAGCCUCUGAUUCACUUGGGCCCUUUAUGCAGUUAACUCCUUCCGAGUCCGUGCCUCCUGCUCCCGCACCCUGGGCUGCCCCUCAUGCCCGCCCUGGAUACCUUGGUAGCCUCAAACUGGCUUUGGGGCCCACAGCCUGGAAAUCAACUCAGCCCCUAACUCAUUGGUCCCCUCAGGGCCCUCUCACUCCCCUCCUAUGCCCAGAGACCCCCGUCCCCCAGGCUUCUGGAACACACAUGAGGGCAGCUUUGGGCUGAGAGCACAGGCUUUGGAAUAAGAUAAGUCUGGUCCAACCCUGAUUCUGACCCUUUCUACUUUGCCACCUGGAGCGGUAUAAAGAUCUGCUCUGAGCCCCACUUCUCAUCUGUAAAACUGAGGCAAGUCCUGUCCCGUAGAUCCAGUGUGCUGGGCCCAUCACAGGGGCUCAGGAGUGAUUAUUUUUCCUUCUUUGCAAAGGCCCCCUCAUUCUAUCACCGGGUCCCUACUCCAGCCCUGGGCCCCCUUUCCCCGUCUGGCUUUCCCCUCCCAAGAGCUCAGGCAGGGAGGGGGAAAGAAGUACGGGGAGGGCAGGGGAGGGCAGACUGCUGCUGUCUCAAGACUCUCCUCCGCCAGCUUCCCAGCUCCUCACAUUUCUCAGUUUUUCCAACAAGGCUUCAGAGAGGCUAGUGGGUAGGAGCUCCGAGGAGCUGAGGGCCACAGAGAUCCUGAGGCCUCGGGGACAGGGCCGAGCCUUCCUCCCCUCAAGAGAUGCCUGGUGUGAGCAUCACACAGGAGCAUCACACAUUUCCUCUAAUUCUCACAGCCCUGUGUGGUCCGUCGUGUUAUUGCCCCCGUUUUACAGAUGAGGACACAGAGGCUCUGAGGAGUGACUUUUCUCAGCCACGCAGUGAACAAAGGGCAUGGAUGAGAUUCAAAUCAAGGUCUCUGGAGCCUUCCUCCUAACCUCCACAAGGCUCAGUAAGGAGGCCAGUGAGGGAAACGCGCACUUCAGUGAAACCCUACUGUAUACAAGGGGAAGGCUCACCCAGAUCGCCUUUCUGUCCUCUCUGCAAUGUGGGGGGCUGGGGCUUGUGGACCCCUUGGUAGAACUGAGGCGUCUGAACUUUGGGGAGGGGAAGGAGCUCGCCCAUAGGCCGCAUAGCCAGCCAAUUGUGGGGAAGGAUCCAGGGGUACCUCGACAGAAGAGAAUGGUGUUGGGGGCUCCAUAGAAUAGGGGACCUGGUUGGGGGGGAAGUGGCUCCUGUCCUCAGUGAGCAAGCGGGAGGGGGGGUGCUGCCCGUGGUGAGCAGGAGGAAGUCGCUGUGGGUGGCGGUGGGUUUGAGGUGCCGGAGGCUGAGUGAUGUGGCCAGGAGGUGAGGUCCCCGUCUGCAGCCCUGGUCAGCAGGAGACAAGGGUGUGGAGGGGGGACCGGGAAUCAGGGCAUGAAGGAGGUCGGGCUGCUCUGAGAUCUGUGCCCCUGGCCACUGGGACUGGGGAGCAGGGGGCAGGAGCUGGCGCUGAGUGCGGGGAGAGACUCUGCAGAGCUGGGGAGAGAUAGAGGUGAAGGGAGAAUCUGGGGCACAGCCAGGAGGAGGCGAGCCCUCAAAAGACAGAGGCCUAAGGGAGUGGAAGAGGGUGAGACUGUGAGCAAAGGCCGUGGGAGAUUGAGAAAGAGGUUCUGGGAAUGUUGAGCAGCGUCUUCUGGCUGGAG